CCUACGGGUGGCAGCAGUGGGGAAUAUUGCGCAAUGGGCGAAAGCCUGACGCAGCGACGCAGCGUGAGGGAUGAAGGUCUUCGGAUCGUAAACCUCUGUCAGCAGGGAAGAACGGUCACUGUGCUAAUCAGCAGUGAAUUGACGGUACCUGCAAGGGAAGCACAGGCUAACUCCGUGCCAGCAGCCGCGGUAAGACGGAGGGUGCGUGCGUUAAUCGGAAUUACUGGGCGUAAAGCGCUCGUAGGCGGUAUGUCAAGUCAAGGGUGAAAUCCCCGCGCUCAACGUGGGAACUGCCUUUGAAACUGGCAAACUGGAGUGGGUGAGAGGAUAGUGGAAUUCCAGGUGUAGGAGUGAAAUGCGUAGAUAUCUGGAGGAACAUCAGUUGCGAAGGCGACUAUCUGGCACAUAACUGACGCUGAGGAGCGAAAGCGUGGGUAGCAAACAGGAUUAGAUACCCUUGUAGUC
This 465-nucleotide ribosomal RNA is filed under the name uncultured bacterium. Its description in RNAcentral is "partial 16S ribosomal RNA". It matches the Rfam family "Bacterial small subunit ribosomal RNA", at positions 338 to 795 of the family's 1533-position model. The record is from RNAcentral.